Molecule: ribosomal RNA, 254 nt
Filed under: uncultured bacterium
Lineage: Bacteria
Description: partial 16S ribosomal RNA
Rfam family: Bacterial small subunit ribosomal RNA
Source: RNAcentral
UACGGAGGAUCCAAGCGUUAUCCGGAAUUACUGGGCGUAAAGAGUUGCGUAGGUGGCAGAGUAAGUAGAUAGUGAAAUCACACGGCUCAACCGUGUACACAUUAUCUAAACUACUCAGCUUGAAGACGAGAGAGGUAGAUGGAAUUUCUAGUGUAGGAGUGAAAUCCGUAGAUAUUAGAAGGAACACCGAUGGCGUAAGCAGUCUACUGGCUCGUUCUUGACACUAAGGCACGAAAGCGUGGGGAGCAAAUGGG